AGCCUGAUCAGCCAUGCCGCGUGUGUGAAGAAGGCCUUCGGGUUGUAAAGCACUUUCAGCGAGGAAGAACGCCUUGGGAUUAAUACUCCCGAGGAAAGACAUCACUCGCAGAAGAAGCACCGGCUAACUCCGUGCCAGCAGCCGCGGUAAUACGGAGGGUGCAAGCGUUAAUCGGAAUUACUGGGCGUAAAGCGCGCGUAGGUGGCUAAGUCAGCCAGGUGUGAAAGCCCCGGGCUCAACCUGGGAACGGCAUCUGGAACUGCUUGGCUAGAGUGCAGGAGAGGAAGGUAGAAUUCCCGGUGUAGCGGUGAAAUGCGUAGAGAUCGGGAGGAAUACCAGUGGCGAAGGCGGCCUUCUGGACUGACACUGACACUGAGGUGCGAAAGCGUGGGUAGCAAACAGGAUUAGAUACCCUGGUAGUCCACGCCGUAAACGAUGUCAACUAGCCGUUGGGUCCCUUGAGGACUUAGUGGCGCAGCUAACGCAAUAAGUUGACCGCCUGGGGAGUACGGCCGCAAGGUUAAAACUCAAAUGA
RNAcentral lists this ribosomal RNA (535 nucleotides) under Cobetia sp. RNAcentral's name for it is "bacterial SSU rRNA". It matches the Rfam family "Bacterial small subunit ribosomal RNA", at positions 380 to 908 of the family's 1533-position model. Lineage: Bacteria; Pseudomonadati; Pseudomonadota; Gammaproteobacteria; Oceanospirillales; Halomonadaceae. The record is from RNAcentral.